Molecule: unclassified non-coding RNA, 149 nt
Organism: Callithrix jacchus (white-tufted-ear marmoset)
Lineage: Eukaryota; Metazoa; Chordata; Mammalia; Primates; Cebidae
Rfam family: Metazoan signal recognition particle RNA
About the family: The signal recognition particle (SRP) is a universally conserved ribonucleoprotein. It is involved in the co-translational targeting of proteins to membranes.
Source: Ensembl
GCUGGGCGUUGUGGCAGGCGCCUGUAAUCCCAGCUACUUGGGAGGCUGAGGCAGGAGAAUCGCUUGAACCUGAGAGGUUAGAGGUUGCAGUGAGCUAAGAUCACGCCACUGCACUCCAGCUUGGGUGACAGAGUGAGACUCUGUCUCAA